Molecule: ribosomal RNA, 253 nt
Filed under: uncultured bacterium
Lineage: Bacteria
Description: partial 16S ribosomal RNA
Rfam family: Bacterial small subunit ribosomal RNA
Source: RNAcentral
UACGUAGGGCGCGAGCGUUGUCCGGAAUUAUUGGGCGUAAAGAGCUCGUAGGCGGCUUGUCGCGUCGGAUGUGAAAGCCCGGGGCUUAACUCCGGGUCUGCAUUCGAUACGGGCAGGCUAGAGUUCGGUAGGGGAGAUCGGAAUUCCUGGUGUAGCGGUGAAAUGCGCAGAUAUCAGGAGGAACACCGAUUGCGAAGGCAGCUCGCUGGGACGCGACUGACGCUGAGACGCGAAAGCGUGGGGAGCAAACAGG